RNAcentral lists this ribosomal RNA (253 nucleotides) under uncultured bacterium. RNAcentral describes it as "partial 16S ribosomal RNA". It matches the Rfam family "Bacterial small subunit ribosomal RNA", at positions 524 to 776 of the family's 1533-position model. The record is from RNAcentral.
UACGGAGGGUGCAAACGUUGCUCGGAAUCACUGGGCGUAAAGGGCGCGUAGGCGGCCGAUCAAGUCGGGGGUGAAAGCCUGUGGCUCAACCACAGAAUGGCCUUCGAUACUGGUUGGCUCGAGACCGGAAGAGGUGAGUGGAACUGCGAGUGUAGAGGUGAAAUUCGUAGAUAUUCGCAAGAACACCAGUGGCGAAGGCGGCUCACUGGUCCGGUUCUGACGCUGAGGCGCGAAAGCGUGGGGAGCAAACAGG